UCCACCAUUAUGACCUCAUCUAAUCCUAGUUACCUCCCAAAGGCCUGACCUACUUAAACCAUCACAUUGAGGAAACUACUGUGGCCAUGUUACUACCUAUGCUUGAAGCUAACACUAAGAAUUGCAGAUCACAGAUGGAAAGAAUCUGGAUCUCAACCACAUCACUGAACGGUGGACUCAGCCACACCCCUGAACAAUUUGCAGAAGGUAACACUGCACAACUACUACAGAGCAAGUUAAGUCAAUCUGCAAAGAAGAAAUGAACUAUAGCCUGCUGAGGAGUAUGUGAUGUACUGCAGACCACACCAAUCUGUGCUUGUGAGUGACUGUCAAUAUACAAACCUGAAAUAAUU
Non-coding RNA from Microcebus murinus (gray mouse lemur), 353 nucleotides. NCBI's taxonomy places the organism in Eukaryota, Metazoa, Chordata, Mammalia, Primates, Cheirogaleidae. The record is from RefSeq and is a predicted model, not a curated record.